AUGUGGGAGCCGGAAGAGUACGAGUUUGUGUGGAGGUCGCGUGAUUUCCUCCUCUUGCUGGCCACGCUGGUCGUCAACGCCACCUACGUUGCCGGGCUCAACCCGCCGGGCGGCCUGUUCGUCGAGGACGGCGACGGCCACCGCGUCGGCGGGCCGGUGCUGGCGACCACCUACCCCCGCCGCUACGCCGCAUUCUUCUACUGCAAUGCCGCCGCCUUCCUGGCAUCGCUGGUCAUCAUUAUGAUCCUACUGGACCGGCGCAUCGUCGGAAACCGCGCUGGGCUCACCGUGCUCCAGUCCGCCAUGGUGCUCGGCCUGCUCGCGCUCACGGGGGCCUUCGCGGCGGCGAGCUGCCACGGCGUGACCGCGUCCAUCUACGUACCGGCCGCGUUCGCCGUGCUGCUGGCGUACGUCACGAUCCACCUUCUCGUGGCUGCCAGGGCCAAGGAACAUUCGGGCGCGGAGGACGAGGGCCACCUUAGAGGACGGCGCUCGCUACCGCUGCUUCUGGCCACGUUCGCGACGCCUCUGGCAUACGGCGCGGGGCUGGCGCCGCCUGGCGGGUUCUGGUUUGACGACUCCGAGGGGUCUCGCGUCGGCGAUCCGGUGCUCGCGGACACCUACCCCGGCCGCUACCUCGCCUUCUUCUACUGCAACGCCACGUGUUUCGUGUCGUCCCUCGUUAUCGUCACGCUGCUGCUGAGCAGGAGGUGGCUGAGCCGCCGCGUCGUCCGGUCGUACGCGCUGCAAAUUUGCGUCCUGCUGGAGCUUCUCGGCCUUGUUGGCGCCUACGCUGCUGCCGCUGCCGCGACUGACCAGCCCACCGUCUACAUCGUCUCCUUCGCCGGGGCGGUGCUCUUGUACAUUGUGCUCGUAGGAAUAUUCUGCGUGGACACCACCAAAAAAUGGCUUCCAUGCCUCUUUCAGAGCCCUCGCAACUUGGAGCCAGCAUCACCAGAUGGGGAAGUUGAAGCGCAAAUCGACGGCAGCAACAGGGAUGAAUACAAUCUGAACAGGUCGCGGUCGGUUUUGCUGUUGCUGGCCACGCUGACGGCGACGGUGACAUACCAGGCAGGGCUGAACCCGCCAGGCGGCUACUGGCGCGAUGAGGACUACAAGGAUUACAGGUCAGGACAUCCGGCGCUCCUCGACGUGCUGCCGAAGAGGUACAAGGCCUUCUUCCACUGCAACACGACGUCGUUCGUGGCGUCGCUGGUGGUGAUCGUGGUGGUCCGAAGCAAGCAGCUCAUAUUGGGAGCCGUGGUCAAGCGUCACGUGCUGCAGGUGGCCAUAAUACUGAGCCAGUUGGGCCUGAUGGGCGCGUACGCCAGCGGGAGCUCCCGAGACGUCUCCACCACCAUCUGUAUCUCCGCAUUGGCCGUCGCCAAUGUCGUGGUGUUCAUCAUUCUGGGCAGCGGCGGGAGCAAGCGGACGCUGUGGGUGGAGCGUACGGCUCACAAGGUUCUGAAGAAGCUGCACCUGUUGGGCGAUGAUGAUGAUGAUGAUUAUGGGCAAUGCCAACUGAAUAGAGAGGAUCAGGAGCGGAGCCUGGAGAAGAAGCGCAGGUCUCUGAUUGUGCUGGCGAUGCUCGCCGCCACCGUCACGUACCAAACCGGGCUGAACUCGGCCGGCGGGUUCUGGGAGAUGGACUACGACUUCUCCUCCAAGAAGCUCUUCAGCGAGACGGUCCUCCUUGGCUACGACCGGAGCAGGUACCUGGUGUUCUUCUACUGCAACGCGGUGAUGUUUAUGGCCGCCGUCGCCGUCAUCCUCUUCCUGGUGAACCAGCGGCUGCACGAGCAGAGCAUACGGAGUAACGCGCUCCAGGCCUGCAUCAUGAUUGGGUUCCUGGCUCUCAGGACUGCCUACGCCCUAGGGACCACCCACAAGGUGAGCACCUCUGUCUACGUCUUUGGCCUCGUGGCCGGCGUGAUCACCUAUCUUGUCCUGCAAAUUCUACCGCUCCUGCUAAAGGACAGCGGCGGGCCGCCCAAUGUGCCACAGCUUCCGUUCUGGAUCCGGUGCCUAUUCCAGCCGCUGUCGCUGAGGACCGGCUACCAGAGGGCCAUGGUCUCGGACCAAGAAAUGGACAAGCACACAAAGCGCAGGUGCCUGAUGCUUCUCGGCGUUCUCACGGCGAGCAUGACGUACCAGGCGGGCCUUGUGCCUCCUGGCGGCACCUGGGUCGACUCUAGGAGUGGCCACCGUGCCGGCGACCCCAUCAUGCGCAACGUCCACUUGCCACGGUACCAGGCCUUCUUCUACUGCAACGCCACGUCCUUCGCGGCGUCCGUCAUUCUCAUCGUCCUGCUAAUGCACCGCACGGUGAGCCGGCGUGGCGCGCCGCUCAGGAUGAUGCAGGCUGCCAUGGUGCUGGACCUCGCCGGCCUGCUGGGCGCGUACGCGGCCGGCACCUGCUGGGUGUGGGAGCAGCUGUUCGCGUACGUGACCACGCUCGUUGCGGCCGUGGUCGUCUAUGUCGCGUUGCACGUGCUGCUAUGGCGUGGUAAUACUGCGGAUCCUGCACCAGCACCUCCGUCGACCACUCCGGCUUCCUCCCAUCAGCCACUUGGCAACAUUUAUUAG
RNAcentral lists this ribosomal RNA (2586 nucleotides) under Triticum aestivum (bread wheat). Its description in RNAcentral is "partial small subunit ribosomal RNA". Lineage: Eukaryota; Viridiplantae; Streptophyta; Magnoliopsida; Poales; Poaceae. The record is from RNAcentral.